Molecule: ribosomal RNA, 254 nt
Filed under: uncultured bacterium
Lineage: Bacteria
Description: partial 16S ribosomal RNA
Rfam family: Bacterial small subunit ribosomal RNA
Source: RNAcentral
GACGAACCGUGCGAACGUUGUUCGGAAUCACUGGGCUUAAAGGGCGCGUAGGCGGUCAGCACAAGUCAGUUGUGAAAUCUCCGGGCUUAACCCGGAAAGGUCAACUGAUACUGUGCGACUAGAGUGCGGAAGGGGCAACUGGAAUUCUCGGUGUAGCGGUGAAAUGCGUAGAUAUCGAGAGGAACACCUGCGGCGAAGGCGGGUUGCUGGGCCGACACUGACGCUGAUGCGCGAAAGCCAGGGGAGCGAACGGG